This 500-nucleotide ribosomal RNA is filed under the name uncultured bacterium. RNAcentral describes it as "partial 16S ribosomal RNA". It matches the Rfam family "Bacterial small subunit ribosomal RNA", at positions 30 to 523 of the family's 1533-position model. The record is from RNAcentral.
AUUGAACGCUGGCGGAAUGCUUUACACAUGCAAGUCGAACGGCAGCACGGACUUCGGUCUGGUGGCGAGUGGCGAACGGGUGAGUAAUGUAUCGGAACGUGCCCAGUCGUGGGGGAUAACGUAGUGAAAAUUACGCUAAUACCGCAUACGAUCUAUGGAUGAAAGCGGGGGAUCGCAAGACCUCGCGCGAUUGGAGCGGCCGAUAUCAGAUUAGGUAGUUGGUGGGGUAAAGGCCCACCAAGCCAACGAUCUGUAGCUGGUCUGAGAGGACGACCCGCCACACUGGAACUGAGACACGGUCCAGACUCCUCCGUGAGGCAGCAGUGGGGAAUUUUGGAAAAUGGGCGAAAGCCUGAUCCAGCCAUUCCGCGUACAGGAUGAAGGCCCUCGGGUUGUAAACUGCUUUUGUACAGAACGAAAAGGUUUCUCCUAAUACUAGGAGCUCAGGACGGUACUGUAAGAAUAAGCACCGGCUAACUACGUGCCAGCAGCCGCCGUAA